RNAcentral lists this ribosomal RNA (274 nucleotides) under uncultured bacterium. Its description in RNAcentral is "partial 16S ribosomal RNA". It matches the Rfam family "Bacterial small subunit ribosomal RNA", at positions 523 to 796 of the family's 1533-position model. The record is from RNAcentral.
AUACGGAGGGUGCAAGCGUUAAUCGGAAUUACUGGGCGUAAAGAGUACGUAGGUGGUUCGUUAAGUCAGAUGUGAAAGCCCAGGGCUCAACCUUGGAACUGCAUUUGAAACUGGCGAACUAGAGUAUGGUAGAGGGGGGUAGAAUUCAUAGUGUAGCGGUGAAAUGCGUAGAUAUUAUGAGGAAUACCAGUGGCGAAGGCGGCCCCCUGGACCAAUACUGACACUGAGGUACGAAAGCGUGGGGAGCGAACAGGAUUAGAAACCCUAGUAGUCC